Molecule: ribosomal RNA, 468 nt
Filed under: uncultured bacterium
Lineage: Bacteria
Description: partial 16S ribosomal RNA
Rfam family: Bacterial small subunit ribosomal RNA
Source: RNAcentral
GACGAACGCUGGCGGCGUGCUUAACACAUGCAAGUCGAACGGAAAGGCCCUGCUUUUGUGGGGUGCUCGAGUGGCGAACGGGUGCGUAACACGUGAGUAACCUGCCCUUGACUUUGGGAUAACUUCAGGAAACUGGGGCUAAUAUCGGAUAGGAGAUCCCGCUGCGUGGUGGGGGUUGGAACGUUUCGGCGGUUGGGGAUGGACGGGCGGAUUAUCAGCUUGUUGGUGGGGUAGUGGCUGACCCAGGAAUUGACGGGUCGCCGGCCUGGGAGGGUGGCCGGCCACAAUGGUACUGAGAGAGGGCGCAGACGCCUACGGGAGGCAGCAGGGGGGAAUAUGACACAAUGGUCGGAAGCCGGAGGCAGCAGCGCUGCGGGCGUGAUGACGGCCUGCGGGGUGAGAACAGCUGUCGCCUGAGACGAAGCGUGAGUGACGGUAAUGGGUAAAGAAGCACCGGCUAACUACGUG